GGCCGGAUGCUGCUGCCCUUUGCCCAUGGGCACGGCUGGGAGGGGUGGGCCUGUGUGUCUCCAGGGUCUUGAGUGAAUAAUGAGGACUCAUUUUUGCUCCAGGGACAAUGCGAAUAAAAUAGAAACCGGUUCAGUGCUCUGACAAGCAAGAUUCUCAAUGAAUCUGGCCCUUCAGGGAGAGGAGCUAGCCCAAGGAUCCCACGGACGAGCUUCUGGGCUCGGUUUUUGCCACAUUCACACCGCGACAAAGGGCUUCAGCAUUGCUGACGCAGGAAAGGAGGGCCGGGCAUGGGGCGCACACCUUUAAUCCCAGCACCCAGAAGGCAGAGGUAGGAGGAUCGCCGUGAGUUCAAGGCCACCCUGAGACUACAUAGUGAAUUCCAGGUCAGCCUGGGCUACAGUGAAACUCUACCUCAAAAACAACAUCAAAAAGUCUUGCUUUUCUUGCUCAAGAUCUGACCAAGUGAAAGACAGAAGCAAGGGCAAUGUGCUGGCAUACUUACUGAUCCACUUCACACCACCUGCCUGGAUGGGCCUUUGAUAACCAUUCCAAUGAAGAGAAUCCCACCUCAGGCUGGACAGACACCCUCCGCCACACCCAGGCUUGGGGGAAGGAAAGACGGAGGCUCCACCAAACUACAGGCAGGUGGACACAACCUCUACAGACAUCAGAUGAUCCAAAAAGUUUACAAGACCAUGUUGUAUGCAUAAACUAAGACACAGAAAGAGCUGUGACCCUCCUUCCCCAGAACAUCCUAAGAGGGCAGAGAACCCGGAGUGGCAGGUUUGGAAGGAAGCGGAAAAGGCUGACGCUGUGGGAGGUGCUUUGUGCAGAGGACGACUGCUUGGGGGUCACCCUUACAUUCGCCAGGACCCCCACACUUUCCAUGUCUGCUUGGGGAAAUAACAAACCUGAGACAACGUUAGCAGAGACACCUCACCAGAGAGCCAACAAACUGCUGUGGCUGCCUUAGCAAUUGUUUGGCAUUGGACAUGAUCCCACAUCCCUGGGGGCACCAGGCAUCUGUGCUCAGAAGUGACCAGGAGACAGCAGGUGACUGCACUGGGUGCGGCUCUAAAUUCCAGACUUCAGCAGGGAGUUGGCAGCAGACCUGACUCGUGACAUGCGCAGGCGCAGCACAAGGACGCCUCCUGGCCCCUCCGCUGUACAGGUUCACAAUGGAGCCUCACCUAAUGAUGGCCAGCUUCCUCCGCUGCUGCCCAGGUGCUCUGCCAGCCUCUUUCCCUCCAAACUUACCUAUUCUCUGCUCCAUGGUUGGGACCAGAGGCCAGAA
Jaculus jaculus (lesser Egyptian jerboa) is the source of this 1295-nucleotide long non-coding RNA. RefSeq lists it as uncharacterized. Lineage: Eukaryota; Metazoa; Chordata; Mammalia; Rodentia; Dipodidae. The transcript is spliced from 4 exons. The record is from RefSeq and is a predicted model, not a curated record.